This 200-nucleotide ribosomal RNA is filed under the name uncultured bacterium. Its description in RNAcentral is "partial 16S ribosomal RNA". It matches the Rfam family "Bacterial small subunit ribosomal RNA", at positions 524 to 723 of the family's 1533-position model. The record is from RNAcentral.
UACGGAGGGUGCGAGCGUUAAUCGGAAUGACUGGGCGUAAAGCGCGCGUAGGUGGUUUGUUAAGUUGGAUGUGAAAGCCCAGGGCUCAACCUUGGAAUUGCAUCCAAAACUGGCUAACUAGAGUACGGUAGAGGGGGGUAGAAUUUCAGGUGUAGCGGUGAAAUGCGUAGAGAUCUGAAGGAAUACCAGUGGCGAAGGCG